GUCUGUACAGAUGGUAACUGUUGUAAUGGAAGCUCUUGUGAAAAGAGUUCUAAUGGCAGAAUCUGAAACUGCAAUUGAGAAAGAUAAGGUAACAUUAGGUCAGGAAGAAAUUAGGAAGAAGGCAAUCCAAAUUGAGACCAUGUCUUCAAAAUUAGAGGAGAUGGAGAGAUUUGCCCUUGGAACAAAUAGUAUUCUUAAUGAGAUGCGCCAGAGGGUUGAGGAUUUGGUUGAAGAAACAUCAAGGCAGAGGCAAAGAGCUGCAGAAAAUGAACAAGAGCUUUGCCGUGUUAAAAGGGAUUUUGAGUCAUUGAAAUCAUAUGUUAGCAGUCUCAUUAGUGUAAGAGAGACACUUCUUUCAUCGGAGAAGCAAUUUCAAACUAUUGAGAGGCUUUUUGAACGGCUAGUUGCAAAGACAACUCA
This 420-nucleotide unclassified non-coding RNA is filed under the name Hevea brasiliensis (rubber tree). Lineage: Eukaryota; Viridiplantae; Streptophyta; Magnoliopsida; Malpighiales; Euphorbiaceae. The record is from RNAcentral.